This 433-nucleotide ribosomal RNA is filed under the name uncultured bacterium. RNAcentral's name for it is "partial 16S ribosomal RNA". It matches the Rfam family "Bacterial small subunit ribosomal RNA", at positions 29 to 507 of the family's 1533-position model. The record is from RNAcentral.
AACGAACGCUGGCGGCAUGCCUAACACAUGCAAGUCGAACGAGACCUUCGGGUCUAGUGGCGCACGGGUGCGUAACGCGUGGGAACCUGCCCUUAGGUUCGGAAUAACUCCCCGAAAGGGGUGCUAAUACCGGAUAAUGUCUUCGGACCAAAGAUUUAUCGCCUUUGGAUGGGCCCGCGUUGGAUUAGCUAGUUGGUAGGGUAAAAGCCUACCACGGCGACGAUCCAUAGCUGGUCUGAGAGGAUGAUCAGCCACACUGGGACUGAGACACGGCCCAGACUCCUACGGGAGGCAGCAGUGGGGGAUAUUGGACAAUGGGCGAAAGCCUGAUCCAGCAAUGCCGCGUGAGUGAUGAAGGCCUUAGGGUUGUAAAGCUCUUUUACCCGGGAUGAUAAUGACAGUACCGGGAGAAUAAGCUCCGGCUAACUCCGUG